Molecule: ribosomal RNA, 495 nt
Filed under: uncultured bacterium
Lineage: Bacteria
Description: partial 16S ribosomal RNA
Rfam family: Bacterial small subunit ribosomal RNA
Source: RNAcentral
UGAACGCUGGCGGCGUGCCUAAUACAUGCAAGUCGAGCGAACAGACGAGGAGCUUGCUCCUCUGACGUUAGCGGCGGACGGGUGAGUAACACGUGGAUAACCUACCUAUAAGACUGGGAUAACUUCGGGAAACCGGAGCUAAUACCGGAUAAUAUAUUGAACCCCAUGGUUCAAUAGUGAAAGACGGUUUUGCUGUCACUUAUAGAUGGAUCCGCGCCGCAUUAGCUAGUUGGUAAGGUAACGGCUUACCAAGGCAACGAUGCGUAGCCGACCUGAGAGGGUGAUCGGCCACACUGGAACUGAGACACGGUCCAGACUCCUACGGGAGGCAGCAGUAGGGAAUCUUCCGCAAUGGGCGAAAGCCUGACGGAGCAACGCCGCGUGAGUGAUGAAGGUCUUCGGAUCGUAAAACUCUGUUAUUAGGGAAGAACAAAUGUGUAAGUAACUAUGCACGUCUUGACGGUACCUAAUCAGAAAGCCACGGCUAACUACGUG